Long non-coding RNA from Oncorhynchus keta (chum salmon), 1199 nucleotides. RefSeq lists it as uncharacterized. NCBI's taxonomy places the organism in Eukaryota, Metazoa, Chordata, Actinopteri, Salmoniformes, Salmonidae. The transcript is spliced from 3 exons. The record is from RefSeq and is a predicted model, not a curated record.
UUGAGUCACAAUGUGUUGGAUGGUGAAGCGUAGAAUUAAAUAUAAUUUGAAUCUAUAUGACGAAGGCUCUUAAUACUUGAUGCAACAAAAACAACAUUUGUAAUCAAAUUCUGGUAGUGGAAAUGAAAAUGUAAACCUAUGUGUGAAUGAAUUUCACGAGAACCAAUAUACGCAAUUUAAAGAACAAUUAUGUUUGAAUUACUGCCAAAGGCGAAGAAACAAACAAACAAUGUUGUCUGGUUCGUUCAGUGUUUUGCUUUUUGGAGGCAAAUGUCUAAUUUAGGCAGCGGAGACAAUAUGGUAUGUAAAUAUGUUAAUUUAUUUCAUUUACAAUUCAAUGAAGGCGGGUGCCUGAGAUAAUCACGCCGUUAAAAGUUAGUAUCGACUCUGUUACAUCAUAAUCUGACCAUCUGGAUCCCAGUAGGUAUAGACAGGACUACCAGUAGGUAUAGACUAGACCAGUCAGUGCAGACAGGACUACCAGUAGGUAUAGACAGGACUACCAGUAGUUAUAGACUAGACCAGUCAGUGCAGACAGGACUACCAGUAGGUAUAGACAGGACUACCAGUAGUUAUAGACUAGACCAGUCAGUGCAGACAGGACUACCAGUAGGUAUAGACAGGACUACCAGUAGUUAUAGACUAGACCAGUCAGUGCAGACAGGACUACCAGUAGGUAUAGACAGGACUACCAGUAGGUAUAGACAGGACUACCAGUAGGUAUAGACAGGACUACCAGUAGGUAUAGACAGGACUACCAGUAGGUAUAGACAGGACUACCAGUAGGUAUAGACAGGACUACCAGUAGGUAUAGACAGGACUACCAGUAGGUAUAGACAGGACUACCAGUAGGUAUAGACAGGACUACCAGUAGGUAUAGACAGGACUACCAGUAGGUAUAGACAGGACUACCAGUAGGUAUAGACAGGACUACCAGUAGGUAUAGACAGGACUACCAUUAGGUAUAGACAGGACUACCAGUAGGUAUAGACUAGACCAGUCAGUGCAGACAGGACUACCAGUAGGUAUAGACAGGACUACCAGUAGUUAUAGACUAGACCAGUCAGUAUGGGAUGUAGACUUGGUGUUUCUUCCUCCAUCACCUCUUGCCUCAUCCUGAAACCGCCAUCUGACACAAAUUGCCAGAUUUCCAUGUGACGGCUGACCUGUCAAUCAGACUGAUGGGUAACUAACGAGGA